UCCUACGGGGCGCAGCAGUAGGGAAUUUUCGUCAAUGGGCGCAAGCCUGAACGAGCAAUGCCGCGUGAACGAGGAAGGUCUUCAGAUCGUAAAGUUCUGUUGUAGGGGAAAAAGAGCGGAGAGAGGAAAUGGUCUCCGAUUGAUAUUACCCUUCGAGGAAGUCACGGCUAACUACGUGCCAGCAGCCGCGGUAAUACGUAGGUGGCGAGCGUUAUCCGGAAUGAUUGGGCGUAAAGGGUGCGUAGGCGGCCUGCUAAGUCUGGAGUGAAAGGUACCGGCUCAACCGGUACAGGCUCUGGAAACUG
This 305-nucleotide ribosomal RNA is filed under the name uncultured bacterium. Its description in RNAcentral is "bacterial SSU rRNA". It matches the Rfam family "Bacterial small subunit ribosomal RNA", at positions 337 to 635 of the family's 1533-position model. The record is from RNAcentral.